ACAAAUAAACACAUACGUGUCCAAUAUGGUGGAAAUACAGGGCAAGAAUCUGACAUCGCUUCAGCCUUUGAUAAUCAAAACAACAGGGUUUCUACCUCUACAGAGGAAGAAAAACCACAGGACAAUGGAGACGACACAGACACUCGAUACAGACACGCUCUAAUACAGCUUUCAGUAGCAGCAGCUUGACCAAGAAGGGGCGGCGAAUCAAGGUCAGUAAAUGUGCUAAAACCAGCAUGCUUCUGGCCGGAUCAGCGGCAAACACGGGAAAAGAACCCCGUGGUCGUGAUUCACCAGCGAUCUAAACAUCUGCACAUCUGGAUCCGCUCAGACGCCGACAGGUUGAGUGUUUACUGGGAUCAGGUGAAUGAAGUGUGUUCAAAGGCAAGUACCUGACACCUCGAGCACAUCUGUGAUCUAACGCUCGUUUAAGGUCUGUAACAGCGUUUGCGACGGAGGAACCGAACACGGAUGAAGCUGAAGGAUAAACAGCACAGUAGCGUUCGAGCAUAAAAACCCGAUGCACUCCGCUG
Molecule: long non-coding RNA, 533 nt
Organism: Puntigrus tetrazona (Sumatra barb)
Lineage: Eukaryota; Metazoa; Chordata; Actinopteri; Cypriniformes; Cyprinidae
Exons: 3
Source: RefSeq, a predicted model, not a curated record